Molecule: ribosomal RNA, 891 nt
Filed under: uncultured Gammaproteobacteria bacterium
Lineage: Bacteria; Pseudomonadati; Pseudomonadota; Gammaproteobacteria
Description: bacterial SSU rRNA
Rfam family: Bacterial small subunit ribosomal RNA
Source: RNAcentral
AUUGAACGCUGGCGGCAGGCCUAACACAUGCAAGUCGAGCGGUAACAGAUCUAGCUUGCUAGAUGCUGACGAGCGGCGGACGGGUGAGUAAUGCAUAGGAAUCUGCCCGGUAGUGGGGGAUAACCUGGGGAAACCCAGGCUAAUACCGCAUACGUCCUACGGGAGAAAGGGGGCUCCGGCUCCCGCUAUGGGAUGAGCCUAUGUCGGAUUAGCUAGUUGGUGAGGUAACGGCUCACCAAGGCCGCGAUCCGUAGCUGGUCUGAGAGGAUGAUCAGCCACAUCGGGACUGAGACACGGCCCGAACUCCUACGGGAGGCAGCAGUGGGGAAUAUUGGACAAUGGGCGCAAGCCUGAUCCAGCCAUGCCGCGUGUGUGAAGAAGGCCCUCGGGUUGUAAAGCACUUUCAGCGAGGAAGAACGCCUAGCGGUUAAUACCCGCUAGGAAAGACAUCACUCGCAGAAGAAGCACCGGCUAACUCCGUGCCAGCAGCCGCGGUAAUACGGAGGGUGCAAGCGUUAAUCGGAAUUACUGGGCGUAAAGCGCGCGUAGGUGGCUUGAUAAGCCGGUUGUGAAAGCCCCGGGCUCAACCUGGGAACGGCAUCCGGAACUGUCAAGCUAGAGUGCAGGAGAGGAAGGUGGAAUUCCCGGUGUAGCGGUGAAAUGCGUAGAGAUCGGGAGGAAUACCAGUGGCGAAGGCGGCCUUCUGGACUGACACUGACACUGAGGUGCGAAAGCGUGGGUAGCAAACAGGAUUAGAUACCCUGGUAGUCCACGCCGUAAACGAUGUCGACCAGCCGUUGGGUGCCUAGCGCACUUUGUGGCGAAGUUAACGCGAUAAGUCGACCGCCUGGGGAGUACGGCCGCAAGGUUAAAACUCAAAUGAAUUGACGG